RNAcentral lists this ribosomal RNA (431 nucleotides) under uncultured bacterium. Its description in RNAcentral is "partial 16S ribosomal RNA". It matches the Rfam family "Bacterial small subunit ribosomal RNA", at positions 338 to 795 of the family's 1533-position model. The record is from RNAcentral.
CCUACGGGAGGCUGCAGUGGGGAAUAUUGGACAAUGGGGGCAACCCUGAUCCAGCCAUGCCGCGUGGGUGAUGAAGGCCUUAGGGUUGUAAAGCCCUUUCGGCGGGGAAGCGGUACCCGCAGAAGAAGCCCCGGCUAACUUCGUGCCAGCAGCCGCGGUAAUACGAAGGGGGCUAGCGUUGCUCGGAAUCACUGGGCGUAAAGCGCACGUAGGCGGAUUCCUAAGUCGGGGGUGAAAUCCUGGAGCUCAACUCCAGAACUGCCUUCGAUACUGGGAAUCUUGAGUCCGGAAGAGGUGAGUGGAACUGCGAGUGUAGAGGUGAAAUUCGUAGAUAUUCGCAAGAACACCAGUGGCGAAGGCGGCUCACUGGUCCGGACUGACGCUGAGGUGCGAAAGCGUGGGGAGCAAACAGGAUUAAUACCCUUGUAGUC